GAUGAUCGCUAGCGGGAGGCCUAACACAUGCAAGCCGAGCGGUAGAGUUUCUUCGGAAACUUGAGAGCGGCGCACGGGUGCGUAACACGUGUGCAACCUACCUUUAUCUGGGGGAUAGCCUUUCGAAAGGAAGAUUAAUACCCCAUAAUAUAAUGAUUGGCAUCAAUUAUUAUUGAAAACUCCGGUGGAUAGAGAUGGGCACGAGCAAGAUUAGAUAGUUGGUUAGGUAACGGCUCACCAAGUCAAUGAUCUUUAGGGGUCCUGAGAGGGAGAUCCCCCACACGAGUACUGGGACACGGACCAGACUCCUACGGGAGGCAGCAGUGAGGAAUAUUGGACAACGGGUGAGAACCUGAUCCAGCCAUCCCGCGUGAAGGAUGACGGUCCUAUGGAUUGUAAACUUCUUUUGUACAGGGAUAAACCUACCCUCGUGAGGGUAGCUGAAGGUACUGUACGAAUAAGCACCGGCUAACUCCGUG
RNAcentral lists this ribosomal RNA (479 nucleotides) under uncultured bacterium. RNAcentral's name for it is "partial 16S ribosomal RNA". It matches the Rfam family "Bacterial small subunit ribosomal RNA", at positions 28 to 507 of the family's 1533-position model. The record is from RNAcentral.